Molecule: long non-coding RNA, 360 nt
Filed under: Lactuca sativa (garden lettuce)
Lineage: Eukaryota; Viridiplantae; Streptophyta; Magnoliopsida; Asterales; Asteraceae
Description: long non-coding RNA (LSAT_LNC009527)
Source: RNAcentral
GAGCCUUCCACUCGAGACGACUCUGACCACCAUCAGAUUCCUGAUCAUUGACCACCCGCCGUGGAGACACCCAUCCUUCUCUUAGACAUAUAUCACAUGCAUUAUCUCGCCCUGCACCUUUCCUUAAUCACCAAUGACCCUGAUCUCAUGAAUUCAAGCCGCAGGUUCUGCAUCCAACCCCUAACCGCUNACCCUGAUCUCUUGAAUUCAAGCUGCAGGUUUUGCAUCCAACCCCUAACCGCUCUUGCACAAAUCUCUGGUUCUCUCAAUAAACCACCCGGUUCUCCCCCACUUAGGGUUCGAACCAUCACUAUCUGACACAUCAACAACCUCACGAACUAUUUUCACCAGCAAUAACGC